CUCUCUUUUGGGAAGUCUUACGCGGCGAGACGGGGAGAAUAACACGUGGGGCCACCUCGCCCCUUACAGGGGGAUAACUCCGGGAAACCGGAUCUAAUACCAGAUAAUCUUUUUCUCCACGUGGAGAGAGGGAGAAAGAGGGUUUCCGCUAUCUCUAGGAGAGGGCCCCGCGGCGCUUUAUCUAUUUGGUAGGGUAACGGCUUACCAAGGCCACUAUGCAUACCCCACCUGAGAGGGUGAUCGGCCACUGUGGCACUGACACACGGCCCACACUCCUACGGGAGGCAGCAAUGGGGAAUCUUCCGCAGUGCAAAAAUGUCUGACAGAACCACCCCGCGUGAGUGAAGAGGGCCUUCGGCUCAUAAAUCUGUUUUGUGAGGAAAAAAGCGGUCCCGUUCAUAUAGGGGGGUCCCUUGACGGCCCCUCACCAAAAACCCACGGCAAUCUACGUGCCAACCCCCGCGAUUAUACAUAUGUGGCAAGCGUUGUCCGGAUAUAUUGGGCGUAGAGCGCGCGCGCGCGGCUUCUUAUCUCAGAUGUGAAAUCUCGGGGCUCAACCCAGAGCGCCCUUUGAAAAGUGGGAGAUCGUGAGUGCAAAAGAAGAGAGUGAAACUCCACGUGUCGCUGAAAAGUGCAUAGAUAUGUAGGGAAACACGUGUGGAGAACGCCUCUCUCGGCUCUAUCUCUGACUGUGACGCGCAAACGCGUGGAGAACACACAAUAUUAUAUACUCUUGGUACCCCACCCCAUACACUAUGAGUGCUAUGUGUUAGGGUUUUUCUAUGCCCUGUAGUGCCAAAUAUCACACAUUAACACACUCCCCCUGGGAGUACACGCCCGCAAGGCUAAAUCUCAAGAGAAUUGACGGGCACCCGCCACACCCUGUGGACCAUGGUGUUAUAUUUCAGACCCAGCGCAAAAACUCUUCACGGCUCGUGACCUCUUUGACC
RNAcentral lists this ribosomal RNA (950 nucleotides) under Bacillus cereus. Its description in RNAcentral is "bacterial SSU rRNA". It matches the Rfam family "Bacterial small subunit ribosomal RNA", at positions 74 to 995 of the family's 1533-position model. The record is from RNAcentral. Lineage: Bacteria; Bacillati; Bacillota; Bacilli; Caryophanales; Bacillaceae.